GUCCAGCUGACGAGUCUCAAAUAGAGCAAAACGCGCGUCCUGGAU
Non-coding RNA from Schistosoma curassoni, 45 nucleotides. The record is from Rfam. NCBI's taxonomy places the organism in Eukaryota, Metazoa, Platyhelminthes, Trematoda, Strigeidida, Schistosomatidae.